This 330-nucleotide small nuclear RNA is filed under the name Aotus nancymaae (Ma's night monkey). Its description in RNAcentral is "7SK RNA (ENSANAG00000004429.1)". It matches the Rfam family "7SK RNA". From Rfam's summary of the family: 7SK was discovered as an abundant small nuclear RNA in the mid-70s but a possible function has only recently been suggested. Two independent studies have found that 7SK RNA binds the CDK9/cyclin T complex (known as elongation factor P-TEFb). P-TEFb activates transcription by phosphorylating the C-terminal domain of RNA polymerase II. The record is from Rfam by way of RNAcentral. Lineage: Eukaryota; Metazoa; Chordata; Mammalia; Primates; Aotidae.
AGAUGUGAGGGUGAUCUGGCUGCAACAACUGUCACCCCAUUGAUAGCCAGGGUUGAUUUGGCUGAUCUGUCUUGACAGACGAUUGUCCCCUUCCUCCCUUACCAUUCCAUGCACGUCCCUCCCAAAGCUGUGCUCUUGUCAACAAGGAUGACCAUCCCUGAUAGAGGAGGACUGGUCUUUGGUCAAGGGUAUACAAGUAGCUGUUCUCCCCUGCUAGAAGCUCCAAACAAGCUCUUAAGGUCCAUUCGAAGGAGAAAGUAGGAUAGUCAAGCUUCCAAAACUCCAGACAUAUCCAAAUGAGGGGCUGCAUGUGGCAGUCUGCCUUUCUAA